GGUGGUAUAGCUCAGUGGUAGAUUGUUUAGCUAGAAUGCACAAGGCCUUGGGUUCCAUCCCCAGUACCAUGG
Molecule: transfer RNA, 72 nt
Filed under: Marmota monax (woodchuck)
Lineage: Eukaryota; Metazoa; Chordata; Mammalia; Rodentia; Sciuridae
Description: tRNA.Ser
Source: RNAcentral